This 168-nucleotide non-coding RNA is filed under the name uncultured Psychrobacillus sp. RNAcentral describes it as "Lysine riboswitch". It matches the Rfam family "Lysine riboswitch aptamer". From Rfam's summary of the family: Riboswitches are metabolite binding domains within certain messenger RNAs that serve as precision sensors for their corresponding targets. Allosteric rearrangement of mRNA structure is mediated by ligand binding, and this results in modulation of gene expression. The record is from RNAcentral. Lineage: Bacteria; Bacillati; Bacillota; Bacilli; Caryophanales; Bacillaceae.
GAAGAUAGAGGUGCGAAUUGCAAUAGUACUAAUCAAGAGGAUGAAAGAUCCAUUGAGGGAUUAGGAAAGGGUUGUUCGCCGAAAUAUAGAAGAGCUUUUCCUUUUCUAUGUUGGUUCUGUAUUUAAGAGAUGCAGGAUUGUCAGAAUAUAUAUUCUGGAGGGCUAUCU